This 471-nucleotide ribosomal RNA is filed under the name uncultured bacterium. Its description in RNAcentral is "bacterial SSU rRNA". It matches the Rfam family "Bacterial small subunit ribosomal RNA", at positions 28 to 507 of the family's 1533-position model. The record is from RNAcentral.
GAUGAACGCUAGCGAUAGGCCUAACACAUGCAAGUCGAGGGGCAUCACAUGAAGUAGCAAUACGGAUGGUGGCGACCGGCGCACGGGUGAGUAACACGUAUGCAACCUGCCUUCAACAAGGGGAUAACCCGUUGAAAGACGGACUAAUACCCUAUAACACAGGGGUCCCGCAUGGGAAUAUUUGUUAAAGGACAACCGGUUGAAGAUGGGCAUGCGUUCCAUUAGCUAGUUGGCGGGGUAACGGCCCACCAAGGCAACGAUGGAUAGGGGAACUGAGAGGUUUAUCCCCCACACUGGUACUGAGACACGGACCAGACUCCUACGGGAGGCAGCAGUGAGGAAUAUUGGUCAAUGGACGCAAGUCUGAACCAGCCACGUCGCGUGAAGGAAGACGGCCCUACGGGUUGUAAAGCUCUUUGAUCAGGGAUGAUAAUGACAGUACCUGAAAAACAAGCCACGGCUAACUACGUG